CCUGAAACUAUACAAUUCAAAAAUACUUUAUUCAUCCCAAAGGGAAAUUGAAUAUUGUCACACAUAUUAUUCAGGGUUCUAUAAAAAUAUGCUUAUGAUUGAGCAGAAAGGAUCUCAUGUGACAGUCAGCAGUUCUAGAAAACCCUCUGACAGAAGACACUAUUUCUUCUUGCGAAGAGGAUGUUCAGGAUUGUUCAUAAUUAACUUGAUUUAGUGACAAAUCCUUAUUUGUAUCAUCAUCCUCAGAGUUUCCACAGUCGUCCCCAGAACAGAACCAGCCUUCUUUAUCAGGCGCUUGAGUCUGAUGCUGUUGCCACAACACAUGACAGCAGAAGAUGAUGCUCUCCUCAACAAAGUACAGUCUCUGCAAACACUGAAGGACCUUAGUUUCCUUAAGAAGUGAAGUCUACUCUGUCCCUUCUUGUAGCUUUACUGUUCUAACUCUAGUCGGUUUGUUGUCCAGAUGAAUACCAAGGUAUUUAUAAUCCUGAACUUUAUAAGGUAAGCUGCCCCAGUCAUUGUUUGACUAACAGUGUUGGUUUUGCGAUAUUGUGCCCAACUGCUUUCUGGGUAACACACACUACCCUGCCGCUACAGCACGCCCUCCCUCCCCCUGCUUUACAUAUAUAGGGUCUGGUCCCUAAUUUUAAUUUCUGAAAGGGGGCAACCCUACCCUUGAUGGAAAUGGGGUUUGAUCUAACUCUGUUCCUAAAAAUCUAAAUCUAAAAUCAACUUUUUUUUUUGUUCAUAUUCAAGAUGAGAUGAUUGUUCCCACACCAUGACUCAAAGCGGUCCUUCAGCUCUCUGCACUCACCUUCUGGACCAUCUCUGACACAAGUAACGGCUGCAGAGUCAUUUGAAUAUUUCUGUACAUAACAGGAGUCUGUUUCGCAGUGGAAGUCAAAGUCUACAGAGUGAAAAGGAACUAUACAGAGAAGUGGAAAGGAGAAGCAAAGAGAGCAGCUGCCUGAUUCGGUUAACAGCAGAAGAAUCCGUGACUGAGGUAGAAAAUAAAACAUCUGAGGCUUGACAGGAAAGCUCUCAAAUGAAAGGAGGGUAGGAGGUCUGUUUGGCUGGGAGCAGGGGAGGAUGAUGAUGAUGAUGAUGAUGAUGAUGAUGAUGAUGAUGAUGAUGAUGAUGAUAAUGAUGGUGAUGAUGAGCUUGAAGAAUGAGUCCAGCUCAUUUGCUCUAUCCAGACCACCAUCUGUCAAAUCAUCCAUUGUGUUGAAAACCUGUGAUCUUCUUCAUGCCUUACCUCACAUCUUUAAUAUUUUUGGAUUUGUCAAGAGAAGGUCUUGCUUUGGAGACGUGUCCAUCUUUGAUAUUUACAUAGAAGAAAUCCAACGUCUUGUUUUCUCUGGUAGGGCAGCUGUCAAAUUGUUGAAAUGUAACUGCAGCAGAUAUUUAGGCGUGACUGAAAUCCACAAAUGUUGCCACAAAUGCAUUGGGGUGUAAUGUCUUCAGCUUAGCAACAACUGAACUGAUGAAAUUACGCAUCGUCAGUAGCAGCUGAGGGUGGAAUGUGAGCAGUUGUCAAAGUAACACUUUCUGUUGGUAAAUAAUAUGGACAGUUCCAGAAACGACACUUCACAGCAACAUGGACGACACCAUCUGUUGUUCAUGAGCACCGCUUAUCCACAUUUGCUUUUGCAGCUCUUCUUUAGAAGUUACUCCUGUUGUAAGCCGUCUUCCUAUUAUGGUUGUGCAUCAUGACAAAUGCCCAAAAGUAAAUCAGUAGCAAAACUGCUUCCAAGCUGCAAAGUAGUCAAAACCAGAAGGAGCCGUUUUAAAAAAAGGGUAUGAAAGUCAUAGCUAGUCCAGCAUGCUACCACCUAGCAUACACCAAGAGGAUUACAGGGUUCAUUUCAAUAA
Molecule: long non-coding RNA, 1872 nt
Organism: Poecilia latipinna (sailfin molly)
Lineage: Eukaryota; Metazoa; Chordata; Actinopteri; Cyprinodontiformes; Poeciliidae
Exons: 2
Source: RefSeq, a predicted model, not a curated record